This 460-nucleotide ribosomal RNA is filed under the name uncultured bacterium. RNAcentral describes it as "partial 16S ribosomal RNA". It matches the Rfam family "Bacterial small subunit ribosomal RNA", at positions 338 to 795 of the family's 1533-position model. The record is from RNAcentral.
CCUACGGGGAGCAGCAGUGAGGAAUAUUGGUCAAUGGACGAAAGUCUGAACCAGCCAUGCCGCGUGCAGGAGGACGGCUCUAUGAGUUGUAACCUGCUUUUGUACGAGGGUAAACGCAGAUACGCGUAUCUGUCUGAAAGUACCGUACGAAUAAGGAUGGGCUAACUCCGUGCAAGCAGCCGCGGUAAUCCGUAGGAUUAAAGCGUUAUCCGGAUUUAUUGGGUUUAAAGGGUGCGUAGGCGGUCGGAUAAGUUAGAGGUGAAAUCCCGAGGCUCAACUUCGGAAUUGCCUCUGAUACUGUUCGGCUAGAGAGUAGUUGCGGUAGGCGGAAUGUAUGGUGUAGCGGUGAAAUGCUUAGAGAUCAUACAGAACACCGAUUGCGAAGGCAGCUUACCAAGCUACUUCUGACGUUGAGGCACGAAAGCGUGGGGAGCAAACAGGAUUAGAUACCCCAGUAGUC